Hermetia illucens (black soldier fly) is the source of this 210-nucleotide long non-coding RNA. RefSeq lists it as uncharacterized. NCBI's taxonomy places the organism in Eukaryota, Metazoa, Arthropoda, Insecta, Diptera, Stratiomyidae. The transcript has 2 exons. The record is from RefSeq and is a predicted model, not a curated record.
CUUGAUCAGUGCUUCAGCAAAGUGUGUGUUUUGGCUAGACAACAACAGCUUCAAGUGUCGAUUGGACCAUAUCAUAUGCGAAUUUUUCCUUGACUGAGAAUUACGAGACAAAGAGACUACAAUGCACAGGCUGGCUGCUUAUGGAUUCGCACGCAUAGGAGUCUUAUAGAAACACGAUAUACAAUACAUUAAGAUUUGCGCAGAACGUAG